Molecule: ribosomal RNA, 543 nt
Filed under: Triticum aestivum (bread wheat)
Lineage: Eukaryota; Viridiplantae; Streptophyta; Magnoliopsida; Poales; Poaceae
Description: partial small subunit ribosomal RNA
Source: RNAcentral
AUGGAUAAGUUUCUUCUCAAAAGAAAGGCGACAUCACAAGUUACUCCAGAAGACAUAAAUUGGGAGGAGGAGAUUCAAUAUGACCAAGGCAAGAGGAAAUUGAUAGAACAUUAUCAUCCAAAUUUGAAAGAUGUGGUAAGAAGAAAAUACUUGCUUAAUGGACCUUGUCAGCCAAAGGAUGUUGAUUUUCCAUAUUCAAGUUUUGGGGCUAAGAGGAGAAGAUUCAAUCCUAAAUGGUAUAAAGAUCAUGGAAGUUGGGAUCGCAGCCACAAGAAAGAAGUUGGGUAUGAGGCAUUUGUUCUGAAUGGUUGGGAUACUUGGAGCAUUCCAACAAGACUAAAAGAUCAUGUUGGUGAGCCAGGUAGCGUCCAUGAUCAAGCAAUGAAAAAAUGUACUGAUUUACUAAAAAGAUAUCAACACAUUGAUGUUGCUAUGCAAGUUAACUGUGAAGCUUCGAAGGUUGCAUAUUUUACUCGACUAAAUGCAUCAAUUGACACAGCUAGGCUACUGUUGAAGCAAGGGUUGCCUUUUUCGCGGCCAUGA